RNAcentral lists this ribosomal RNA (467 nucleotides) under uncultured bacterium. RNAcentral describes it as "partial 16S ribosomal RNA". It matches the Rfam family "Bacterial small subunit ribosomal RNA", at positions 28 to 506 of the family's 1533-position model. The record is from RNAcentral.
GACGAACGCUGGCGGCGUGCUUAACACAUGCAAGUCGAACGGAAAGGCCCUGCUUUUGUGGGGUGCUCGAGUGGCGAACGGGUGAGUAACACGUGAGUAACCUGCCCUUGACUUUGGGAUAACUUCAGGAAACUGGGGCUAAUACCGGAUAGGAGCUCCUGCUGCAUGGUGGGGGUUGGAAAGUUUCGGCGGUUGGGGAUGGACUCGCGGCUUAUCAGCUUGUUGGUGGGGUAGUGGCUUACCAAGGCUUUGACGGGUAGCCGGCCUGAGAGGGUGACCGGCAACAUUGGGACUGGGAUACGGCCCGGACUCCUACGGGAGGCAGCAGUGGGGAAUAUUGCACAAUGGGCGGAAGCCUGAUGCAGCAACGCCGCGUGCGGGAUGACGGCCUUCGGGUUGUAAACCGCUUUCGCCUGUGACGAAGCGUGAGUGACGGUAAUGGGUAAAGAAGCACCGGCAAAUUACGG